RNAcentral lists this ribosomal RNA (520 nucleotides) under uncultured Glomus. RNAcentral describes it as "SSU rRNA". It matches the Rfam family "Eukaryotic small subunit ribosomal RNA", at positions 569 to 1089 of the family's 1831-position model. The record is from RNAcentral. Lineage: Eukaryota; Fungi; Glomeromycota; Glomeromycetes; Glomerales; Glomeraceae.
AGCAGCCGCGGUAAUUCCAGCUCCAAUAGCGUAUAUUAAAGUUGUUGCAGUUAAAAAGCUCGUAGUUGAAUUUCGGGGUUAGUAGGUUGGUCAUGCCUCUGGUAUGUACUGGUCUCACUGAUUCCUCCUUCCUGAUGAGCCGUAAUGCCAUUAAUUUGGUGUUGCGGGGAAUUUGGACUGUUACUUUGAAAAAAUUAGAGUGUUUAAGGCAAGCUAACGCUUGAAUACAUUAGCAUGGAAUAAUGAAAUAGGACGUUCGAUCCUAUUUUGUUGGUUUCUAGGAUUGACGUAAUGAUUAAUAGGGAUAGUUGGGGGCAUUAGUAUUCAAUUGUCAGAGGUGAAAUUCUUGGAUUUAUUGAAGACUAACUACUGCGAAAGCAUUUGCCAAGGAUGUUUUCAUUAAUCAAGAACGAAAGUUAGGGGAUCGAAGACGAUCAGAUACCGUCGUAGUCUUAACCAUAAACUAUGCCGACUAGGGAUCGGGAUGAUGUUAAUUUUUUAAUGACUCAUUCGGCGCCUU